GCAAACGUGUCUGGGGGUUCAAGCAGGCUCAUUCACUAGACGAGCAGAAGGAAUGGGGUUGCUACGGUUCAGUUCAUCUUCCUGUAUUCUAAUGGGACCCCCAACCUCUUUUGCAGGAAAUAAUUCUUUUCUGAAUUUCUGACUCCAUCAGUUUAGUUGAAUCUAGUCUGGCAAGGAGUCUAUAUUUUUUCAAUGCCUCCUUUCAUAUGUUGAAAAUUUUCCGUUCACCUCAAGGAACUUUUACAUUCCCGUGCUUCCAUAGUCGAGAAGCAAUCUUCCUCUCCAGAACCCCAGCUCCAGAAAGUCAAUGUAGAAUUCUGGCUUCCAGGAGGGGGCGCUCUAUAAAAAGAGCGGCUUGAAACCCAGGCCAUUUAGGGUAAGGAUCAAGAACCUGAUGUGUGGUUCUGCACAUAGCUGAGGAGUUUAAAAUGUGGCUUUUCCCACCCUCUUCUUGUACAGUCCACACACUGUCAUUGGAGGUCAGUGUACAUUUUGGCCCAAAGCAAUUGCCAACUCCAUGGUGCUCCGGCUUAGUAGGUUCUGUGUCUGAGCAAAUCAUUUAUCCUCUCAGAGCUUCAUCCCAGGGACAGAAAGCCUUCUAAUAUAGUAGCUGUCAUCUGCAGGUGGACCACUGCUCUUGUAUCUCCUUCCUCUGGAGAGAUUUACCUUUGGUAGAUUUCUGGGUGGACUCCAUGGUCCCCGAAGUAUAAGGCUCCCCCAGUUUCUGAAAGACUUCUCUUUCUACCACUGUCUUCACUUACCAACCAUGUGUUUGACCCUCUGCUUCUGUGCCUUCCUCCCCUCUCCCCAGUCUCUCUUAUUGUCUCCAUGCACACACCCCAAAGCCACUGGACAUGACGAUGCCCAGGUGGUCACUAGAAGCCCUGCUCUUUUACUUGUGCCCCAAGUUCACAUUCCAUUGGCCUCUGAACUUUGAAAAACUACCAACCCUUCAAAUUUAACACAAUUAAAAUGACAAAAAAAUUUGUGUCAUUUUUUUUUCCAUUGGAGAAGUAAUUCAUAACACAUUGCAAAUAAAAGAAAAAGCAAAAGGGACCCUACCUCUUACCAGCACUGCUCAGGACCCUGUUGCUAAUUACAUUCUUGGCCCUAGAUCAGGUCCUUCUCUUAGCUACCCAAUCCAAUGUCCGUUGUCUGUCAUUCUUCUAACUAGCAGCCCUAUAGUUACUGUGUCUGCAAUUCACUUUGUCAUUUUAUUUCAGAAUCAAAUCCUAUUGAGUCGUCCUUCAGAAAUGUCUCAUGGGAAAAUUAAAAUUAUAACAGAUAUAAAACGCUAGCCCUCUCUCAAGUCCUUUCCUCUCCACGCCCACUGCCUCCAAAAGGAAGCCACUCCAGCUGGAUGGCCAGCUCACUGGAGUGCAGAGACCAUAUGGCUCGGGUCUCAAAUAGAGUCUUGCCCACAGCGAUGAGCACUCGGUGUGGGCCCCACGCUCAGAGCGUGAGUCACGAUGGACACAGCCAGAUCUUCUUUCCCACAACUUGUCAAGGACUUUUAGAAAGCAGUCGUGCUCAGAGCUAGAGAGGAAGUGGGAAACGGGCACUGCUCAGGCUAUAAAAAGGCCCGACUUCUGGAGGCCAACUUGGAAAUAAGUGUCAACAGCCUGGAGAUUCUGCUCCCCCGAGCCUCAGCAAUACCCACUGCUAAAAGAACAGUCUCAGGAAGAAUCAUAAAUGUGUGCAAAGAGGGAGCUACAAGAACAUUCAUUGUAGGAUUGUUAAAAUAGCAAAUAAUUGGGAGGAAAAACCCUGAAAUGGGAGGGCUGAGAAAAUUUGUGUUUAAAAUUCAGUUCUGAAAAUACAAGGACCCUCCUCUCCCCUUUGUCUCCCUUCAUGCCUUCUUUUCUUCCUUCCUUCCACUUUCUCCCUCUUUCCCUUGCCCAACCUUUCUCAGUUUUUCUUCCUUUUCUCUUUCUUCCUCCCUCUCUCUUGCUUGCUUGCUCUCUUUCCCUCCCUCUUUUAGCAAUUUUCUAUGAUAAACAUGUAUUACUAUUGCAUUAAUACAAAAACAAUCUUAAAAUAUGACUAUGCUAAGUCAUACCAUUAGUUCCUUAAAAUUUUUUCUCUCUUAUGAUUAUAAUCUUUUAAAAAGGGUUGUGUCUCAUUUAGUAAGUUUUUUUGGAGAAUCGUGGUACAUAUAUUUCACUAUUCUAUGCUUUGUCUUCACGUGGGAGAUUAGUAAAUAAUAAAAGGAUGCUUAGCUACCAAUAAUCAAAUAGUGGUUCUUCUUCCAUCCCCAUACCUUCAAAGGUUUCAGAUACCUACUAUGUGAUUCCCUGAUCCCUUCCCCCUUAUCUAGUCAAAAAUAUAUGAUUUCUUUUUAAUGGUGUGUUUGGGACAUGAACAUGGAUGCUGAAAUCAAUUAACUUUGCUUUAAAGUUCUCCUUAGAGCCCUAGAAAUAAUUGCAGAUACUCUAGGGAAAUAUCACAACCAGGCCUGAGAGUGACUAUUCUGAUCCACAAAACUGAGGAGACAGGAAAACAUACAACCAACUGAGGAGGGCACAAAAGAGAAUGUUUCAAAUUAGCUCAUGUUCAGCUUUUAUAGUUUUCCCCUUAGCAGAUAGUAACUAUUAGUCAGCUUUCUGUCGCUAUGACACAAUAGCUGAGAUAAGCACCUUAGAAGAAAGGUUCAUUUUGGUUUGUGGUUUCAGAGGUUUUGGUCCAUGGUCACUUUGGUCUUAUUGCUUUGGGCCUGUGAUGGCACAGUACAUCAUGGUGGAGGUGUGAAGCCAAGGAGGCCUGUUCAUCAGAGAGAAAGUCAGGAAGCAGCUUGAAGUACACAGACACCACUGAUCUAACUUCUUUCCACUAGACCCCACCCCAUAAAGGCUCCAUCACCUCCCAAUUGCACCACAGGCCAAGCCACUAAAACAUGGGUCUUGGGGGGACAUUCCAGGCCCAAACCAUAACCUUAGCCAAAGUCGACUUUAUAGCAAGAACUUUAGAUUCAAUUCGUAAGCACUAGUAGUCAAUUUUUCCAAAAAAGUUUAUUUAAAUGAAUCAAGAUGGAGCAUUAGUGGUUUUGAAGUUGUCUAGGCCACUUCUAGAAUUCUGUAAAAUUAUAGGAUCCUAACUUAGUG
RNAcentral lists this long non-coding RNA (3101 nucleotides) under Marmota monax (woodchuck). The record is from RNAcentral. Lineage: Eukaryota; Metazoa; Chordata; Mammalia; Rodentia; Sciuridae.